Tarenaya hassleriana is the source of this 1828-nucleotide RNA transcript. It is a transcript of the gene named ubiquitin-conjugating enzyme E2 35-like, with no coding region annotated. Lineage: Eukaryota; Viridiplantae; Streptophyta; Magnoliopsida; Brassicales; Cleomaceae. The record is from RefSeq and is a predicted model, not a curated record. The transcript is spliced from 3 exons.
UACCCACACGUAUAAAACAGAUCUCAAUUUCAAGACCAAAGUGAUCUUUUUCCGCUCGCUCGCUCUGCAGGUGAAUUCUCUUCUUCGUUAAUGGCGGACGCCAAUCUGCCUCGACGGAUCAUCAAGGAAACGCAGAGGCUUUUGAGCGAACCGGUGCUGACUUCUUUUUCAUUUCUUCCAAUCUUUCAGCACUUGCUUUUGUACUACUUCCAAUGGACAAGUUGGGAUCGUCGAGUCGGUAAGCUUCUCCAUUGACCUAGGAUUCUUUCCGGGUUCUGUCUGGUAGUUUUGUUCCUCGGUUUCGACUGUUUGGUGUUGAUCUCCCUCCGUCUUCAUUGAACUAUAUGAGCUGUGUUGUCCGUGUGGUCUUAGCUUCUUCUGCUGAGUUCAUAGGGGUGGAAAAAAAGACAGAAUCUUGGGUUUCUACGUUGGGUUGGAUGGUGAGAAUUCGAUAAUCUAAUGGAAUUGGGCUCAUAAGAGACACAAAGAUGUACUGACAGUGUUUGUCACAGCUCCUUCAGAAGACAAUAUGAGGUACUUCAAUGUGAUGAUUCUUGGUCCAGCUCUGUCUCCUUUCGAAGGUAAAUGUUUCAUCAUGAAUUUGUCCGAUGUCUUGUUCUAGUAUUGAUUGUAGUAAUUACUGUUCUUUCCCUCAAGCUGGUGUAUUCAAACUUGAGCUGUUCUUGCCUGAAGAGUACUCAGUGUCACCCCCCAAAGGUAAAAUAUGAGUAUGAGACUCUUAUAUGACGCCUUAAUCUGAGGCGUUUUGGUGAUGCAUAGUGCAUACAUCCCUUUGCCUGUUGAUGCCUACUGUAACUCGAGUAUCAUGCACUCAGAUUUUGUUGUAGUUUCAUACUUGUGAUGAGAUCAUAGGAUCAGAAAUCCGAUAUCGUAUCACCUUGGAAGGGUUCUUUUCUUCGGCCUCUGAGCAUUCAGGCUCUUUUGAGUGCCCCAAACCCAGAUGAUCCGUUGUCUGAGAACAUUGCAAAGCAUUGGAAGACAAAUGAGAGUGAAGCCGCCGAAACAGGUAAUCUCUGAUCCAUCUGUCAUUUCCUGAUGUAGGAAAGACCAGAUAUGAUCAAAUAAGCAAAAGGGCACCCAAAAAAAACCUUGAACAUAUGUCCCCAUAGAAGAGUCUUGAAUUUUUACUAAGAGUUGAGGCCCAAGUUAGUAUAGACAGACGGAAUUAUUGAUAACACGCCAGAAUUCUGCUCGUUGGAGCAGAACACAAAGCUCAUGCAACAACUUAGCCAAUGACCCUUGGAUGAAAGCUGUAUCCUUCUGGACAGAGACAAAGUUCAUUGGCGUUGUUCCACUCGACAGCAAACACGGCAAAACACAACAAUUCCUACAAGGUUUCUCUCUUUCUUUCAUUUUUUUUCUCAUUCUUCUUGUAUUAGAAUAUCCGAGAUGCUGUAUAUUCAAGGAUGGGGUCAGCCAGAGGACAAGAAUACGAACAACUUUGCGGGUCAAUGGUGUAUUGAAGAUGCUGAUAUCUGUCGAGAGUGUGACCGCACCCCGGAAAAGUAUGAGAUUCGGUGAGGAGAUAACCGGCCAUCGGUACAACGCACCAGCCAAUCCGAUCGGGAGCUUCUGUGAAAACUCUUGGCAGAUGACUUAUUCUUGUAAGUAAAUCUAAAUAACGUAUGGAUAUGGUAAGAACAUGUUAAAGGGUUUCCAAAGUAAUGAGUCGAGUUCAUUCGAUAUGGGCUCUGUAUACAAUAUUGAGAGACCAUUUCUGAUAUUUCAUUCGGAUCACGAGUUCCACUGCUUAGGAGAAGAAGUUAUGUGGGUACAAAAUGAAAUGAGAACAAGUUGGAAAGGGACA